RNAcentral lists this ribosomal RNA (465 nucleotides) under uncultured bacterium. RNAcentral describes it as "partial 16S ribosomal RNA". It matches the Rfam family "Bacterial small subunit ribosomal RNA", at positions 28 to 507 of the family's 1533-position model. The record is from RNAcentral.
GACGAACGCUGGCGGCGUGCUUAACACAUGCAAGUCGAACGGAAAGGCCCUGCUUGCAGGGUACUCGAGUGGCGAACGGGUGAGUAACACGUGGGUGAUCUGCCCUGCACUUCGGGAUAAGCCUGGGCAACUGGGUCUAAUACCGGAUAGGAGCCAUUUUUAGUGUGAUGGUUGGAAAGUUUUUUCGGUGUAGGAUGAGCUCGCGGCCUAUCAGCUUGUUGGUGGGGUAAUGGCCUACCAAGGCGGCGACGGGUAGCCGGCCUGCGAGGGUGGACGGCCACAUUGGGACUGAGAUGAGGCCCAGACUCCUACGGGAGGGAGCAGUGGGGAAUAUUGAACGAGGGGCGCAAGCCUGAUGCAGCGACGCCGCGUGUGGGAUGACGGCCUUAGGGUUGUAAACUACUUUCGCUAGGGACGAAGCUUUUUGUGACGGUACCUAGAUAAGAAGCACCGGCUAACUACGUG